GAUGAACGCUGGCGGCGUGCCUAGUACAUGCAAGUCGAGCGAACGGACGAGAAGCUUGCUUCUCUGAUGUUAGCGGCGGACGGGUGAGUAACACGUGGAUAACCUACCUAUAAGACUGGGAUAACUUCGGGAAACCGGAGCUAAUACCGGAUAAUAUUUUGAACCGCAUGGUUCAAAAGUGAAAGACGGUCUUGCUGUCACUUAUAGAUGGAUCCGCGCUGCAUUAGCUAGUUGGUAAGGUAACGGCUUACCAAGGCAACGAUGCAUAGCCGACCUGAGAGGGUGAUCGGCCACACUGGAACUGAGACACGGUCCAGACUCCUACGGGAGGCAGCAGUAGGGAAUCUUCCGCAAUGGGCGAAAGCCUGACGGAGCAACGCCGCGUGAGUGAUGAAGGUCUUCGGAUCGUAAAACUCUGUUAUUAGGGAAGAACAUAUGUGUAAGUAACUGUGCACAUCUUGACGGUACCUAAUCAGAAAGCCACGGCUAACUACGUGCCAGCAGCCGCGGUAAUACGUAGGUGGCAAGCGUUAUCCGGAAUUAUUGGGCGUAAAGCGCGCGUAGGCGGUUUUUUAAGUCUGAUGUGAAAGCCCACGGCUCAACCGUGGAGGGUCAUUGGAAACUGGAAAACUUGAGUGCAGAAGAGGAAAGUGGAAUUCCAUGUGUAGCGGUGAAAUGCGCAGAGAUAUGGAGGAACACCAGUGGCGAAGGCGACUUUCUGGUCUGUAACUGACGCUGAUGUGCGAAAGCGUGGGGAUCAAACAGGAUUAGAUACCCUGGUAGUCCACGCCGUAAACGAUGAGUGCUAAGUGUUAGGGGGUUUCCGCCCCUUAGUGCUGCAGCUAACGCAUUAAGCACUCCGCCUGGGGAGUACGACCGCAAGGUUGAAACUCAAAGGAAUUGACGGGGACCCGCACAAGCGGUGGAGCAUGUGGUUUAAUUCGAAGCAACGCGAAGAACCUUACCAAAUCUUGACAUCCUUUGACAACUCUAGAGAUAGAGCCUUCCCCUUCGGGGGGGCAAAGUGACAGGUGGUGCAUGGUUGUCGUCAGCUCGUGUCGUGAGAUGUUGGGUUAAGUCCCGCAACGAGCGCAACCCUUAAGCUUAGUUGCCAUCAUUAAGUUGGGCACUCUAAGUUGACUGCCGGUGACAAACCGGAGGAAGGUGGGGAUGACGUCAAAUCAUCAUGCCCCUUAUGAUUUGGGCUACACACGUGCUACAAUGGACAAUACAAAGGGCAGCGAAACCGCGAGGUCAAGCAAAUCCCAUAAAGUUGUUCUCAGUUCGGAUUGUAGUCUGCAACUCGACUACAUGAAGCUGGAAUCGCUAGUAAUCGUAGAUCAGCAUGCUACGGUGAAUACGUUCCCGGGUCU
RNAcentral lists this ribosomal RNA (1373 nucleotides) under uncultured bacterium. RNAcentral's name for it is "bacterial SSU rRNA". It matches the Rfam family "Bacterial small subunit ribosomal RNA", at positions 28 to 1381 of the family's 1533-position model. The record is from RNAcentral.